Scomber scombrus (Atlantic mackerel) is the source of this 893-nucleotide long non-coding RNA. RefSeq lists it as uncharacterized. NCBI's taxonomy places the organism in Eukaryota, Metazoa, Chordata, Actinopteri, Scombriformes, Scombridae. The record is from RefSeq and is a predicted model, not a curated record. The transcript has 2 exons.
UAAAGACUUGGACACGGGGGACAGCAGCAAACCAAAAUGCACCACGGAUCACCUCAUGAACCUGCAGCUCCGGGACGCACUACUGGACUUUUACUGUUUGGAAAGACUCAUAGACAAAGACAUGCUGGUGCAAGAAGGAAUGAGCAGAGGAAAGAGAGUAGCUGGUGGAGGGGAGAGCUGGAGACUGACCACUGGGUGUGAAUGAAUAAAAUAGGGAAGAGGGUCCACUUCAGAAGCUUUAGGUUGUGCAUCCUCCGGAUCACGUUAACAACCAUCCUUCACCAGUAAUACCCUCUGUCCUCCAGAGCUGUGGAGUGUGACAAUGGUGUUUGUGUCCUGUGUAUCAAACGCCAUUAUCACACUAAAUAGCUACAGUGUGAAAAGGACCUCAGUGUAGUCCACCGUUUCCUGGUAUGCCUGUUUUCCUCUUUUGCCAUUUGUUUGUUCGGUCACUCCUGUAUAGUCUUUAUUUAAGUGUUUGGUUUUUUUGUAGAUUCUUAACAGUUUCUUCUUACAUAUUGUAAAGUCUGAAAAUGUUUCCCCACGUGUGAGUCUUGUCUAUAGCCUGCAACAUUUUACACCACACGGGUGGGGCAGGAAUAAAAAUAGACAUAUGCAGGUUAUUGAUUCAUCAUACAUGAUGUUGAGCCUCUGAGUGUGACCCACUUCCCUUUGCAUUUGGGGCGCUAAUUUGCUGCUGGACACCAUCUCCUGUAAGUACAGAUAAGAAUAGAUGUCCCAUUUGUUUUCAUGUUUCUGCCAUUUAUUGUGUUGUCAAUUCAAACUUUCUCCAAAACUAUAAAGUGAUCAUCUAAUUAAAUGAUUAGUGAUGCUGUAUUUUACGACUGCCUACACCUUUGCAAAUGACAUAAAUAAACAGUGCUUGUUUUGUU